UCUUUCAAAACAUAGCAGCAUCAAUCGAUGUCAAGAGCUUUUCUUUGCUUUUGUCCUCUGGACAAAACUCCAUUCUUUUUAUGAGACCCAGAGGUCUCCCCUCAAUUUCUGGCAUUUGAUUGUACUUGGAAGAGAUUGUAAUCUCAAUUGGAGGGUCCGGAUUUUUCCUUCUGCAGAGUGGCUGCUUAGGAUUUGAUGGACGAUGGGCUCGAGACAGAAAAGGGCUGGUAAUCUUCUUCCCCUUCCACUCCCGGUUUCUCCCAGUUUUCCCUCUUGUUCUUCUUCAUCUUCCUCCCUCCCUCGAGUAGUUAGGGCUAAUUUUUUCUGUUUUCCUAUCAUUUUCCUGAUAUUUCUAUUUCAUUGGCUAAAAGCAGCAAAUCUUUUUUUUUUCUCUCAUCUCUGUCGUGUCCUUUUGUGAAACAGUAAGGACAGGGAAGGUCAAUAUUUCAUCUCCACUAUCUGAUGUGAAUUUCUAGAAUGCAGAUAUAUGGUACUUUUCUUCCCCUUUCUUUCCAUGAUUAAUGUCUCUGUUUCAUUUCUGUUUUAUCAUUGAUUUUUAAUUUUUAAUCAGAAGAAAAACUUUUAAUAUGGUCUGAGAUGAUGAAUAAUUGAUGAUUAGCUAGCUUUUAGAUAUUUAUUUACUUUCUUUUUUGUAUCUAUUUGGUGAUUUAUUGUUCCAUUUUUCGUUUUUGUCUUGGAUUUCUUCUGGAGUUCGGAGGAAAAAUGGCCACUUGUGAAAAACAACUGGUGAGUGAAAAUGUAAGUUUGCUGCAUCAAUCUGAUUUAAUUUUUCCCUCUUCCACGCCUGGUUUAGGAUUUGAUGGAUGAUUUUUUUUCCAUUUUUUUUGUUCUUUUGGUGCUACUUUUCCAAGUAUAUUAUUGGUUGUUGUUACAGGAAGGAAUAUGAAAACUUGAAGUUGACAUCUCUAAGAAGUAGUUAAAGCUGGUAAUAUUUAUUUGUGUUCUACUAUUUAUACUAUAAACCAUAGUCUUUUUCUGUAAAUGGUUUCUCUCACCUAAUUUAGCCUAUUUUUGUUUAUUGAGGUUGUUGUCAGAGAAAGGAUAAAGGUAAAAGUGAUUGGAAGAAUGAGCAAAUUUCUUCCGGUGUUUUGUGUUUUGGGUUUUAUUGUGUUUGUCAAAGUAAAUUAGAUACAGUAUCUUUUUCUUCUGUAUCUUCUUUUUUUCCCUUGGCUGGCAAACAUAAUGAAUCUGUUAUAUAAACUACUUGGUAUUCUUCGUAAUGUCAAGAUUUGGGAAGCUGUAUGAUGAAAUCUUUAUUUCAUAGUCGAUUUUUCUGGUUUUGUGGUUUUAACGUGCAAAGUGAAAUCAUUAUUAUGACUAACUUCCUUGAGGAUGUUUUGAUCAGUUCAUGAUUCAUGAGAUACAUAGUUAUAUGGAUUACAUAAAUGGAGUUUCAAAAGCAAAAUCCAUUUAAUCUACUAUGAAGAUACCAUCUUUCCUCUUUUAAAUUACUAAAAAAACUUGGCUCGAUCUUUGACUGGAAAAAUUAUGUUCAGAAAAUAGUAUUCCUGUGCGUCACACAAUUGACAUUUGAUGUUGGACCCAAUAUUGCAUUUAAAAAAAAAAAAGAAAAAUUGGAAAAUAAUGCAUAGGAACUUCUCUAGAAUUUGCUUCCAUAUAUAUGUACAAUGUUUUGUUCCCUUUGGGGAAAUUUCAUCAGUGACAUUAUUUUUAUUGAUUGAUUUCUGUUGGUAAGACCAGCUUUUAUACUCUCUCAAUAGAUUUCUUCUCUUGUUUCUGUUAUCGCCAUUUUUUUUUGUGGAUUCUUCUUUCUUCUAAGCAACUUUAAAGGUUCUUUUCUUUAUAUGAAUAUGUUAUUAUUGGGGUACAUCUAAUCCUAAUCCUACUUCUGUAGCAGGAAAUGACCAUACAUUGGGUUUUGUUACUGGUGGGUCUGCUCAUGUUCAAAUGCAACUUAGCACCAAAGAGUGUGAGAGUCUGGGAUUAACUGGUCUGGCUCUCUGCUUAGACUGCAACACCUUUGCUGAGUAUGUCAAGGACCAAGGUUGUACCUUUAUUAUAUGAAUUUUGUUGAUCCUCAGAUAUUUAUGGUUUUUGGUGGAUUUUACUUCUGGGUUUUGAUGGGUUUUUUGAAUUGAUUACUUGCUGGUAAGUACAUGGGUUGUAAAAUGGUAAUAUUUGGGAUUCUUGUUUCUGUACUAUAGCUGAUUGGUUGUCAAAAUUAACGAAUAGUGGGAGAUAGAUGCAAUUCUUAUUGCUUUUAGUUGAUUUAAGGUCUGGGUUUUUUUUUGUUUGGAUUUAUGAAUUGCUUAUUUAUAUGUGAGAUGUCAAUGGUGAUAAUUUGGAAGGAGAACUUGAAAAAGGCUAUGUUUUUAUACAAAUCAGAUCGAGAGACUAUGCUUAUAACAGUAAAUAAGUGUAUUUUGACUUUUGUUGUUUUCACUAUAAUUUUUUGUGAUUAAGUUUUGUCAAAAUAUGGAUGGGUAAAUAGUAUUUUGGAAGAUUUCUCUUUUUUCUUUUUGUACCUCAGAUAGCUUAAGGAUAAUUGCAGAAAUCGAAAUAAGAUCCUCAUUGGGAUUCUUAAAUUAUCUCAUGCAAUUAGUGGCGUUAAAUUGUAAUCUGUAGAAUUCCAAGUAACUAGCCUGGAUUAUGGUGAUGGUUCAGUUUUGUUGCUCUUGAGGAUGUUUUGCACCUGAGCUGACGAUGAUCAAGGCAUGCAAGAACAAUAGUUCUACGAUCAUGAUUUCCUAAGUUACGACUUGUAGUUCAUUAUAUUUGAUGAUUAGGACCAUACGCAUUAAAUUGGAAUAUUCUAUUGGCAUCCUUUAUUGUACCAAAUGAAGUACUAUCAAGACAAAUUCUGAAUGGAAAUAUGCCAUUUUUUGAAACCUAUACCAGAGAACCCUUAUUCUUCAACCCUUUUACAUCCAUUCUGGUGAAUUUGAAAAAUUUAAAUAGCUGAAACUUGUGUAACAGAAUUCAUCAAUUAUAUAAUGACUUAGAUUUGUUAAAGAAUUUUGGAUUGUAAGAUUACAAUAAACUUUUUGAACAUUCUGCAAUAAUUUACUUAAGAGGAAGAAAAUUGCUCAUGUCGUCAAGAAAUCCUGGAUGUUUGACAAGAUCUGCAUUUAACAUAUCCAGUUUAGAUGGCAACUUAUAUAGAUUUCUGUAUAAUAUUGGAAUGAUCUUUUUUAGCAUUCCGCAAAUAAUAUACUAAGUAGAAUAUGAUAAUCUGGAAAAUCCGAUGUUUGAAAAGACUCCGGAUGCAGUUUAGAUUUGUCAGUGCCUCUCAGAAAUCUGCCCCUUGGCUUUACCUUAGGCUUAGAGAUGGCUUGCUGGAUUGGUCUAUUUUUAUCUAUUGAUUUUCAUUGUGAAUUUUUGUGUCCAAAGCUUGGUUUUGACUUUCUUGGUUUUGCAUCUGCAUCACCGCAUGAAGCUGCAGCCGGGGAAAACUUCAUUGACAGAGUUUUCAUUAUGGGUCUAUAGAGACUGCAUUUUGGAGAUCUCUUUUGUAUGUGGAUAGGAUUAUAUGUUAUUUUAAAGUUUCUUUUAUGCAAAAAAAAAAAGGAAAAAGAAAAAGAAAAAAAGAUGUUAAAUUUGUUGUAUGUUGUUGACGUAAAACAUAUCUUGCAUCUGAAAUAUUUUCAUUGUGUAAUUAUUUGAUUUGGUUUUUCAAAACUCAUUCAUUGUCGUAAUAAGAUUUUAGACACGAGAUAAUGGCUUGUUUCUCUUAUCAGUUAUAUGUAGAUCUUUAGUCCACCAUUAUCAGUUAUAACUACGUGAUUUAUAGGCUAAAAUGCAUAUGUUGUUUUUUAUUUUCUGUUCUUUAUUUGUAUACCUAGCAUUCAUGUUUGAGAAAAAAUUGAUUGGCAGGAGGUAUUUAUCCGAAUAAGAUGGUGGCUCAAAAUGCGUGGCUCAAAAUGCAUCUGCUGUUUAUUGGCUUUCUAUUCUUUAUUUAUAUAUCCAACAUUAAUGUUUGACAAAAAGUUGAAUGGCAAGAGGUAUUAUUCAAAUAUAAUGGUGGCUCAAACUUAGGAGUAGGGAAUAUGUUCUUGACGACUUUGUUUAUAUUUCAUGUUUUAUUAUUUCCUUACAAUUUUGCAAUGAAGUGUGGCAAAAACUACGGGUGCGUUACCUGUGAUUUAACAAGAUUGUCAUUAUACUAUUUACACAAAAUGUUAUUAAAUUCUAAUAUGAUUCCUUCUUGGCAGAUCUGAUUGAUAUUUGGAUAGCUGGAACUUGGAAGCUAAUGGAAGCUUAUGGAGUUUUGUCAUGAAUGCUUGAUACUUUGUUUUAUCCUUUCCAAUAUCUUUACCAGAAGUCAUUAGUUACUUCAACAGCCACUUGCUAUAGUAGAGAUAUCAAACUUUGUGAUGCUUUUUUUUUUUUUAAUUUUGACCACUAAUACAUAGUUCCACUAUAAUUGGCUGAUUGAACGCGACGGAAGAUAAGAAAGACGAGAGGCAUUUCUAGAAAUAGCAGUCAAUAUUUCUGGAUGAAUGUAUCUUAUAUCUUAAAUUGUAACUUUUCACAGGUAAUGAGGUGCAUCGUACAGUUGGUGAGCUUAUCUCAAUUAUGUGUUAUUAUGCUCUUCAACUUUAUUAGUGUUA
RNAcentral lists this long non-coding RNA (4592 nucleotides) under Coffea arabica (coffee). RNAcentral describes it as "long non-coding RNA (CARA_LNC002306)". The record is from RNAcentral. Lineage: Eukaryota; Viridiplantae; Streptophyta; Magnoliopsida; Gentianales; Rubiaceae.